Molecule: long non-coding RNA, 501 nt
Filed under: Homo sapiens (human)
Lineage: Eukaryota; Metazoa; Chordata; Mammalia; Primates; Hominidae
Description: HSALNT0061801
Source: RNAcentral
UUUGACCCUCCGUCUUCCUUCUUACCUUUUCUGCUUGGAACAUGGCCUCAAUGAUCAGAUAUGGUGACCAUGAGAGUGAAAGCCACACCCUGAGGCUGAAGGUGAAGAAAAUGCAAGGAGACUGGAGUAUUGAAGGCAUUGUGGAGUGGCUGCACUGGUCCUGAGGUGUCAACCUCAAAAUCUUUACUCAGAAGUUCAAUAGGUCCAUGAAGAGAUUACUGAGUCUGCUAGGUCCUGCUGGUGCAUACCUGCUGAGACAGGGUAGAAGGUCACACAGUUAUCCUCACCAUGCUCCAAGGAGGAAGCCUGCUGUGGCUAAAAUAGAGAAAGAGUAACUCUUCUAUGAGCAUUCUCUGCAGUGAAAAAGAUCACUGGAUUGGAAAUGAAGAGCUGAGUUAUCAUAUCAUCUUUACAAUAAAUUGCUUUGUAACAUAAGGGGAGUUCCUUAUUUUGUUUGUAUUUAAAUUUCCUCAGUAAUUAAAGAAGCAAGUUAAUGCAUAU